GGAUGGGGGUUUGUUGAAGCCACGGCUUUUUUGCUUUCUUAGAGCUGGCACGCGGGCAUUGGAUUGUGUCAUUCGUAGGAGGUGAACGUCAAAGGAAGUGGGAUCAACUGCUGGAGGAGGUUUGUAAGCCAGUCAUUUCAUCCUCUCUCUAACCAGUUCCUGCUGGAGAAAAGACAAUGGAAAAAAAGAAAAGAAAUCCAAAUCACUGAAAUGUUAGGUGAGAGAUGAAGCCCUCAGUCCUGCUAGUAAUCAUCACCUUGAGAUGGAUCAGCACCUUAAGAAGAUACCAUAUUGUUCUGUCUUUGAAAAGCUGGCAGCUAAUUUUGAAAACAAAAAGGCCUGUACAGUGAUUACUGGAGUGAACCUUGCAGCUAUCCAGAUAUUACUCAAAGAAAGAAAAUCCUUGACAGACUUGAAGUGAUGAGUAAUGACUCCACUUUCUUCCAGUCCAGCUGCCACACAGGCGUGUACGUUGGUUCCUCGUUGGCCCAGCAAAUUUGAACGUCUUAACCUUUUCUUGUUGUCCCACGUCUGCCCUAUCACUUAUUGGUUGCUCGCUGUUGCGGUAUGGCAGGGUCGUCUUCUCACAGCAGACACUGCAAUUGUUUUUACAAGAAGAAAGAAAAUCCCCCACUGAUAAACAGUGGUACACGUCUAGGGAAAAUGUCAGCACUUAAACCCGAGUCUUGCUUUUCCCUCUGAGUUGUCAUUGCUGGAUCCUCUGCCCUUCCUUACAAGUGGGUUUGAGGAGGUGGUUGUUUUGGCUGGAAUUGGAGAGGCACAGGUGGUACCACCAGCUGUAAAUUGGAGGAGGCACUUCCUGAUUAUGACCACUGCCUACACGCAGAUCAUUGCCAAGAGAGGAGCUGGAAGGCGCAGAAGCCUUCUCCUUACUUGGAAAAAGGGCCUGGAGGAUAAUCAUUGCUCCCCUCUCCUGCAGGCUUUCACCUGCAGGAUUCGGGCUGCUUUGCAAGCGCUUGGCUUCCCAAAAUGCUGUGAUGUGAAAAACCCUCAGCCAUCACUGAGAGACGGAUAAACUGAGGCACUGAGUAUUUAAUUUCAUGCAUCUAACGUUUAGGCACUCGGGUCCGUAUAAAGGCACCGGGAGCUCAGGAGAUGCAAGUGCAUGGUGCAUUUGAAAGCCAGAUUACUUUUUUAAGGGACUUCAGCAUAGAUCCAGAUGUCUGCUUAACCACGGUAAAAUAAGUGGUGAAUAACUCCUUGAUCUCCGCAAGGUCCAGAUUUUGCCCUCCGGCUUUAAAUGUCAAUGGCAAGAGGCUUGUACCAAGCUGCAGAGCGAGCACCGGGCUCUCCUGCGACGAGUUUGGGAUGUUGCUCUUGGGGGCUGUUUUCAGAGGGCACUGCCGGCUACCUGCAUAGGCAGGACCGUCCUGGUCUCAACUGCAAGCACACACCGCCAUUUGCAGUUAUGUAUUUUUAUCGCCAGGUUACAGUUUUUUAAUUAUUAUAUGGUGCUCUUGCCUCCACCUUCACAUAAUGGAGGCCUCUGUUGCUGGCCCUGACUUGCCUUGUCCUCAGGAAAUUUGGGGUGCCUUGACUCCUCGUCUGCUGAAAGCCCUUUCCCUGGGAUGAUCCCUCGGCCCAUUGCUGCCUCACGGUCUUGGUUUUCAUCUUGUGUCCUAAACGUGGGUCCACUGCACGGCAAGCAGCAAGCGAGGGAGAGGCGUCAGAGGAUUAACCCACCACCGCGUGCUCCUCGCCCACGCACACGAGGAGAGAGCCAGAUUAAAAGAUUAAAGUUACAAACUGAAAACCCCCUCGGGCUACUGAUGAGAUCUGAGCGCCUGGCUGCGAAGCCAAACUCCCACUCCGGAGGUGCAGUGCCGCGCGCGCGCUGUCGCUCACGCCGGAGCUGCCGGCUCCCGCCAUCCCUUCCUGCUGCCAGCUCCAGCUAUUUUUAUAGUCCGAGAAUUAAAUAAUAAACCAGUUUUGCCCUGAAGGAGGGUCCUGAGCAAUGCCUCGGCAAUACCCGGGGGCUCAGGGGGGUAGUUUUACGCUCCUCCUUGUUGCACUUCUGAGCUUUUGGGGUUUCCAGCUUCCACUGGUGCCUCGUUUGCUCGUGUUGCAGCCGCUGGAUU
Gymnogyps californianus (California condor) is the source of this 2099-nucleotide long non-coding RNA. RefSeq lists it as uncharacterized. The record is from RefSeq and is a predicted model, not a curated record. The transcript has 4 exons. NCBI's taxonomy places the organism in Eukaryota, Metazoa, Chordata, Aves, Accipitriformes, Cathartidae.